UGGGGAAUCUUGCACAAUGGGGGCAACCCUGAUGCAGCGACGCCGCGUGAGCGAUGAAGCCCUUCGGGGCGUAAAGCUCUUUCGACCGGAACGAUAAUGACGGUACCGGGAGAAGAAGCUGCGGCUAACUACGUGCCAGCAGCCGCGGUAAUACGUAGGCAGCAAGCGUUGUUCGGAGUUACUGGGCGUAAAGAGUGCGUAGGCGGUUUUCUAAGUUCGGUGUGAAAUCUCCCGACUUAACUGGGAGGGUGCGCCGAAGACUGGGAAGCUGGAGUGUGGGAAAGGCAGGCGGAAUUCCUGGUGUAGCGGUGAAAUGCGUAGAUAUCAGGAGGAACACCGGCGGUGUAGACGGCUUGCUAGACCAUAACUGACGCUGAGGCACGAAAGCGUGGGUAGCAAACA
This 402-nucleotide ribosomal RNA is filed under the name uncultured bacterium. Its description in RNAcentral is "bacterial SSU rRNA". It matches the Rfam family "Bacterial small subunit ribosomal RNA", at positions 355 to 774 of the family's 1533-position model. The record is from RNAcentral.